Molecule: long non-coding RNA, 1638 nt
Filed under: Phoenix dactylifera (date palm)
Lineage: Eukaryota; Viridiplantae; Streptophyta; Magnoliopsida; Arecales; Arecaceae
Description: long non-coding RNA (PDAC_LNC014202)
Source: RNAcentral
CUCCUCCAUCAACAAAUCCCACGCUUAUCCCAUGAACAAAGCCAACCGCAAAUCAAAGCCUCUCUUAUCCCUUCUUCGGAACAAAUCCCAGCAUUACGAUUCAUCUUAACCCCAUCCCACUAUCAGCCACAUCAAACCUCCCAGCCAUCAAAUCUUAUCUCCCAGAUUAGAUCACCUCCCAAGGAUUGCAUCUCAAACCUUAUCCCAUCACCUACGGAUUCUCAAAUCUCCCAACGUCCCAGCUAUUCCGCUCCACGAGUUCAUGCGUGCAACCCGAGUCGGCCACGUCCUGCAUCUUCCCCUGUUCCAGACUCCACGGAAAGUAGCUCCCAGCAUUGCAUCCGAACCAGCCUUGCAUCCUUAUCCCAGCAUUCAGAUUAACAGCUUAGCAUCCAUCCAAUAGAUUCACCUUCAUCCCGUGUGCAUGCCAUUAGGACCCAAGGAACAGAUUCCGCAUCCCCUGCAUCUGCAACAUCCCAAACUUCCACACGUGGAUCCCAACCUUCUUCUCGUUCCAGAUUGAACUUAGCUUUCCAUCACCCACGGAUAAGCCCAAAUCCAGCACUCCAUCCUAGCAUCCUUAUCCUAUGCGCCCAGACUUUCUUCCGCUAGAUCCCGUUCGUGAUCUUCACUUCAUCUCCACGGGAUAAACUCAAAUCCCAGCUCGCUCCCAACCGCUCCGGAUCACUUCCUCUGCAUCCCAGCAAAACAGACUUCAACCAUCCCGUGAAUUCCCCCUCUGCUUCCUCGGUUCAGCUUCAUCCCAUACUUCACGGAAUCCCUUGCAUCCUCUUCCCCUGUUCUGAAACAAAGCUAACAACCGAACCAAAUCCAACAUCCCAAACCUCUCACGUCUUCGUCUCCAGCGUUCUCAUCUCCAUGGAUAAGCUCUCAACAACGUCCAAGCUUAUCAUCUGUUCCCAGUGUUCAUUCCCAACCAAAUCCAAACACAUCCUCCCCUGCUUCGGAACAAGAGGAUCAUCCUUAUCCAGCUGCUAGUCGAGUCCCAACUUCCUCCCGUUCACACGAUCAGCUUCCAUUCCCACGGAUAAGUUCCAGCUCCUCCCAAGCUUCACACAAUCCACAUCCUCCCCUGUUUCGGAAACAGAAUAGAGUUCAUCCUCCUUCCUGAGUUUCCUCUCGUUCCGGAUUGCUCCCAUCAUCAUCUUCUCCGGAUCACGUCCACAAAUCAAAUCCCCUGCAUCUCGGAUUACAAGCUUAUUCCCUGUUUCAGAACCAACUCUCAUCCCCUGCACCUACCAAUCGGAUCAAACAAAAUCCUCCCACGUCUGCCCGUUCGCAUGAGAUUCUCCCAACGUCCACGGUCUUCCAUUGCUUCAGAACAGAGCCGGGAUCUUCUCAACGUCCGUGAUCAGCUUCCAGCUCAACCUCAAAUCCCAGCGUCCACAUCAUUCCAUCAUCCAAGAUACAACCGAGUUCAAGCUUCCCAGCAGUCACCGAUAGACUCAAAUCUUCAUCCACCGCGUCCAGGGAUCAAGGAGGAGAAGUUAUCACUUUAUCUCGCUGCCUUCCAUCCUUAUCUUGCACUCGGAAGAGGGGAGGAAAGAGGGCUGGUGAAGGCUAUAAAAGGAGGAGGAGACGGAUCCCAUGGUAAUCUCUCUCGGAGGCCAAAUCCCA